This 460-nucleotide ribosomal RNA is filed under the name uncultured bacterium. RNAcentral describes it as "partial 16S ribosomal RNA". It matches the Rfam family "Bacterial small subunit ribosomal RNA", at positions 338 to 795 of the family's 1533-position model. The record is from RNAcentral.
UCUACGGGGGGCAGCAGUGAGGAAUAUUGGUCAAUGGCCGGAAGGCUGAACCAGCCAAGCCGCGUGAAGGACGAAGGUCCCAAGCGUUGUAAACUUCUUUUGUCAAGGGACAAAAUCAGGCUCGAGAGCCUGACCGCGUGUACUUGAAGAAAAAGCAUCGGCUAACUCCGUGCCAGCAGCCGCGGUAAUACGGAGGAUGCGAGCGUUAUCCGGAUUUAUUGGGUUUAAAGGGUGCGUAGGCGGGCGGAUAAGUUAGAGGUGACAUCCCGAGGCUCAACUUCGGAAUUGCAUUUGAUACUGUGAGGCUAGAGAGCAGUUGCGGUAGGCGGAAUGUAUGGUGUAGCGGUGAAAUGCUUAGAGAUCAUACAGAACACCGAUUGCGAAGGCAGCUUACCAAGCUACUUCUGACGUUGAGGCACGAAAGCGUGGGGAGCAAACAGGAUUAGAUACCCUGGUAGUC